AUGUUUUUCGCGACGAGGAUCCUGUGUUCUGCCUUACAAACAGGACAACGGAGUGGAUUCCAUGCAGCGACCCCAAAAAAAAAACGACUCAGAAAAAGAGGGAAACGAGGCGGUCUUCUGGUCAGGCUCCGUAGACGGGCACACCGUGCACCACUCCCUAGCAUUCUUCUUGCCAAUGUCCAGUCUCUUGACAACAAGGUUGAUGAAAUCCGAGCAAGGGUAGCAUUCCAGAGGGACAUCAGUGACUGCAACGUUCUUUGCUUCACGGAAACAUGGCUCACUGGAGAGACGCUAUCCGAGGCGGUGCAGCCAACGGGUUUCUCCACGCAUCGCGCCGACAGAAACAAACAUCUUUCUGGUAAGAAGAGGGGCGGGGGCGUAUGCCUUAUGGCUAACGUGACAUGGUGUGAUGAAAGAAACAUACAGGAACUCAAAUCCUUCUGUUCACCUGAUUUAGAAUUCCUCACAAUCAAAUGUAGACAACAUUAUCUACCAAGAGAAUUAUCUUCGAUUAUAAUCACAGCCGUAUAUAUCCCCCCCCAAGCAGACACAUCGAUGGCUCUGAACAAACUUUAUUUAACUCUCUGCAAACUGGAAACGAUUUAUCCGGAGGCUGCAUUCAUUGUAGCUGGGGAUUUUAACAAGGCUAAUCUGAAAACAAGACUCCCUAAAUUUUAUCAGCAUAUCGAUUGCGCAACCAGGGGUGGAAAGACCUUGGAUCAUUGUUACUCUAACUUCCGCGACGCAUAUAAGGCCCUGCCCCGCCCCCCUUUCGGAAAAGCUGACCACGACUCUAUUUUGUUGAUCCCUGCCUACAGACAGAAACUAAAACAAGAGGCUCCCACACUGAGGUCUGUCCAACGCUGGUCCGACCAAGCUGACUCCACACUCCAAGACUGCUUCCAUCACAUGGACUGGGACAUGUUUCGUAUUGCGUCAGAUAACAUUGACGAAUACGCUGAUUCGGUGUGCGAGUUCAUUAGAACGUGCGUUGAAGAUGUCGUUCCCAUAGCAACGAUUAAAACAUUCCCUAACCAGAAACCGUGGAUUGAUGGCAGCAUUCGUGUGGAACUGAAAGCGCGAACCUCUGCUUUUAAUCAGGGCAAGGUGUCUGGUAACAUGACCUAA
Molecule: long non-coding RNA, 1128 nt
Filed under: Oncorhynchus mykiss (rainbow trout)
Lineage: Eukaryota; Metazoa; Chordata; Actinopteri; Salmoniformes; Salmonidae
Description: lncRNA (ENSOMYG00000068833.1)
Source: RNAcentral